This 253-nucleotide ribosomal RNA is filed under the name uncultured bacterium. RNAcentral describes it as "partial 16S ribosomal RNA". It matches the Rfam family "Bacterial small subunit ribosomal RNA", at positions 524 to 776 of the family's 1533-position model. The record is from RNAcentral.
UACGAAGGGGGCUAGCGUUGCCCGGAAUCACUGGGCGUAAAGCGCACGUAGGCGGACUCUUAAGUCGGUGGUGAAAUCCUGGAGCUCAACUCCAGAACUGCCUUCGAUACUGAGAGUCUCGAGUCCGGGAGAGGUGAGUGGAACUGCGAGUGUAGGGGUGAAAUUCGUAGAUAUUCGCAAGAACACCAGUGGCGAAGGCGGCUCACUGGCCCGGUACUGACGCUGAGGCGCGACAGCGUGGGGAGCAAACAGG